GGUAUUUGUCUUUCUCUGACUUAUUUUCCUUAGUUUUAUACUCUUCAGCUCCAUCCACAUUACCGUGAAUGGCAAAAUUUCAUUCUUUUUGUUGGCUGAAUAAUAUUCCAUUGGGUGUGUGUCUGCCUCACA
Long non-coding RNA from Mustela erminea (ermine), 132 nucleotides. RefSeq lists it as uncharacterized. The transcript has 3 exons. The record is from RefSeq and is a predicted model, not a curated record. NCBI's taxonomy places the organism in Eukaryota, Metazoa, Chordata, Mammalia, Carnivora, Mustelidae.